RNAcentral lists this ribosomal RNA (301 nucleotides) under uncultured bacterium. RNAcentral describes it as "partial 16S ribosomal RNA". It matches the Rfam family "Bacterial small subunit ribosomal RNA", at positions 509 to 808 of the family's 1533-position model. The record is from RNAcentral.
CAGUCGCCGCGGGAACACGUAGGGUGCGAGCGUUAAUCGGAAUUACUGGGCGUAAAGCGUGCACAGGCGGUUGUGUAAGACAGGUGUGAAAUCCCCGGGCUUAACCUGGGAACUGCGCUUGUGACUGCACAGCUAGAGUAUGGCAGAGGGGGGUGGAAUUCCACGUGUAGCAGUGAAAUGCGUAGAGAUGUGGAGGAACACCGAUGGCGAAGGCAGCCCCCUGGGCCAAUACUGACGCUCAUGCACGAAAGCGUGGGGAGCAAACAGGAUUAGAUACCCGGUAGUCCCUGUCUCUUAUACA